Molecule: ribosomal RNA, 1521 nt
Filed under: Salmonella enterica subsp. enterica serovar Typhimurium
Lineage: Bacteria; Pseudomonadati; Pseudomonadota; Gammaproteobacteria; Enterobacterales; Enterobacteriaceae
Description: partial 23S ribosomal RNA
Rfam family: Bacterial large subunit ribosomal RNA
Source: RNAcentral
CCCGUACUUGGUGUUACUGCGAAGGGGGGACGGAGAAGGCUAUGUUGGCCGGGCGACGGUUGUCCCGGUUUAAGCGUGUAGGUGUGUGUUCCAGGUAAAUCCGGUUCACUUUAACACUGAGGCGUGACGACGAGGCACUACGGUGCUGAAGCAACAAAUGCCCUGCUUCCAGGAAAAGCCUCUAAGCAUCAGGUAACACGAAAUCGUACCCCAAACCGACACAGGUGGUCAGGUAGAGAAUACCAAGGCGCUUGAGAGAACUCGGGUGAAGGAACUAGGCAAAAUGGUGCCGUAACUUCGGGAGAAGGCACGCUGACACGUAGGUGAAGUGAUUUACUCAUGGAGCUGAAGUCAGUCGAAGAUACCAGCUGGCUGCAACUGUUUAUUAAAAACACAGCACUGUGCAAACACGAAAGUGGACGUAUACGGUGUGACGCCUGCCCGGUGCCGGAAGGUUAAUUGAUGGGGUCAGCGUAAGCGAAGCUCCUGAUCGAAGCCCCGGUAAACGGCGGCCGUAACUAUAACGGUCCUAAGGUAGCGAAAUUCCUUGUCGGGUAAGUUCCGACCUGCACGAAUGGCGUAAUGAUGGCCAGGCUGUCUCCACCCGAGACUCAGUGAAAUUGAACUCGCUGUGAAGAUGCAGUGUACCCGCGGCAAGACGGAAAGACCCCGUGAACCUUUACUAUAGCUUGACACUGAACAUUGAGCCUUGAUGUGUAGGAUAGGUGGGAGGCUUUGAAGUGUGGACGCCAGUCUGCAUGGAGCCGACCUUGAAAUACCACCCUUUAAUGUUUGAUGUUCUAACGUGGACCCGUAAUCCGGGUUGCGGACAGUGUCUGGUGGGUAGUUUGACUGGGGCGGUCUCCUCCUAAAGAGUAACGGAGGAGCACGAAGGUUGGCUAAUCCUGGUCGGACAUCAGGAGGUUAGUGCAAUGGCAUAAGCCAGCUUGACUGCGAGCGUGACGGCGCGAGCAGGUGCGAAAGCAGGUCAUAGUGAUCCGGUGGUUCUGAAUGGAAGGGCCAUCGCUCAACGGAUAAAAGGUACUCCGGGGAUAACAGGCUGAUACCGCCCAAGAGUUCAUAUCGACGGCGGUGUUUGGCACCUCGAUGUCGGCUCAUCACAUCCUGGGGCUGAAGUAGGUCCCAAGGGUAUGGCUGUUCGCCAUUUAAAGUGGUACGCGAGCUGGGUUUAGAACGUCGUGAGACAGUUCGGUCCCUAUCUGCCGUGGGCGCUGGAGAACUGAGGGGGGCUGCUCCUAGUACGAGAGGACCGGAGUGGACGCAUCACUGGUGUUCGGGUUGUCAUGCCAAUGGCACUGCCCGGUAGCUAAAUGCGGAAGAGAUAAGUGCUGAAAGCAUCUAAGCACGAAACUUGCCCCGAGAUGAGUUCUCCCUGAGACUUAGAGUCUCCUGAAGGAACGUUGAAGACGACGACGUUGAUAGGCCGGGUGUGUAAGCGCAGCGAUGCGUUGAGCUAACCGGUACUAAUGAACCGUGAGGCUUAACCUUACAACGCCGAAG